GAAAAUGAUAAUAUUCUGUAACACUGUCACGAUCCGUUUCCGUGGGUCGGACCGGCACUAGGGCCCAGGUAAGCUUAAGGCCCCUGAGGCCCGUAGUAAGCCUGAAACACUAGAAUCUAUUAUCUCGGUAUAAAUUUCAACAUUCAGCCCAUAUGAUUAUGGAAAAUAAACCUCAACAUUUUAUUAGUUCUCGGCCCAAGUUUAUCUUCUACAGCAUUCUAUAGUUCGGGCCCAGUUUACAAUACAUCACAUUCUAAUAUGGCUUACAGAAUUAUUUUGUCUAUGUUAAUUCACGACUAAAUAUAUGUAAAUCCUACAACUGCGGAGUCACUAACUCUUUGGUAUACAUAGCUUUUUAUACACAUAAUUACAUAGUGAAAUAAUUAUGGAACUAGGAAAAUUUCUCUAUUGCCCUGCGCCGAAAAAACAUAGCCUAAAUCGGAUUAAAGAAAAACUUACUUCCUAAAAAAUCAAACAAGACAUGUGAGUUUUCUAAGGAGUAAUAAUUAUUGCACAACACACGCAGUCACACAAAUNNN
This 539-nucleotide long non-coding RNA is filed under the name Jatropha curcas. RNAcentral's name for it is "long non-coding RNA (JCUR_LNC000409)". The record is from RNAcentral. Lineage: Eukaryota; Viridiplantae; Streptophyta; Magnoliopsida; Malpighiales; Euphorbiaceae.